RNAcentral lists this ribosomal RNA (562 nucleotides) under uncultured bacterium. RNAcentral's name for it is "bacterial SSU rRNA". It matches the Rfam family "Bacterial small subunit ribosomal RNA", at positions 9 to 576 of the family's 1533-position model. The record is from RNAcentral. RNAcentral also lists the same sequence under 1 other name.
GAGUUUGAUUCUGGCUCAGGAUGAACGUUGGCGGCGUGCCUGAGAUAUGCAAGUCGAGCGAGCCCUCCGAUUCGGAGGGCAGCGGCGAACGGCUGAGUAAUACGUAGGAACCUGCCCCUAAGUCGAGGAUAGUCCGCCGAAAGGCGGAGUAAUACUCGAUGGUCCCCGCUUAAUUUGGUGGAGUAAAGGAUCUAACCGUCCGCUUAGGGAGGGGCCUGCGGCCUAUCAGGCAGUUGGUAGGGUAACGGCCUACCAAGCCGAUGACGGGUAGCUGGCCUUAUGAGGGUGGUCAGUCAGAGGGGGACUGAGACACGGCCCCCACUCCUACGGGAGGCAGCAAUCAGGAAUCGUCGGCAAUGGGCGAAAGCCUGACCGCGCGACGCCGCAUGCGGGAAGAAGCUCUUCGGAGUGUAAACCGCUGUGGUAGGNNNNNAAGUCCCGCUGUUGGCGGGGUUGACAGUACCCUACUAGAAAGGGGCCGCUAACUGCGUGCCAGAAGCGUCGGUAAUACGUGGGCCCCAAACGUUAUCCGGUGUCAUUGGGCGUAAAGGGUCGUGUAGGC